RNAcentral lists this ribosomal RNA (441 nucleotides) under uncultured bacterium. RNAcentral describes it as "partial 16S ribosomal RNA". It matches the Rfam family "Bacterial small subunit ribosomal RNA", at positions 338 to 795 of the family's 1533-position model. The record is from RNAcentral.
CCUACGGGAGGCAGCAGUGGGGGAUAUUGCACAAUGGGGGGAACCCUGAUGCAGCGACGCCGCGUGGGUGAAGGAGUGCUUCGGCAUGUAACGCCCUAUCGGCAGGGAAGAAGCAAGACGGUACCUUACUAAGAAGCCCCGUCUAACUACGUGCCAGCAGCCGCGGUAAUACGUAGGGGGCGAGCGUUAUCCGGAUUCACUGGGUGGAAAGGGAGCGUAGACGGCCAUGCAAGCCAGGGGUGAAAGCCCGGGGACCAACCCCGGGACUGCCCUUGGAACUGCAUGGCUGGAGUGCGGGAGGGGCAGGCGGAAUUCCUGGUGUAGCGGUGAAAUGCGUAGAUAUCAGGAGGAACACCGGCGGCGAAGGCGGCCUGCUGGACCGCGACUGACGUUGAGGCUCGAAAGCGUGGGGAGCGAACAGGAUUAGAUACCCUUGUAGUC